Molecule: transfer RNA, 77 nt
Filed under: SAR86 cluster bacterium SAR86A
Lineage: Bacteria; Pseudomonadati; Pseudomonadota; Gammaproteobacteria
Description: tRNA-Arg
Rfam family: tRNA
About the family: Transfer RNA (tRNA) molecules are approximately 80 nucleotides in length. Their secondary structure includes four short double-helical elements and three loops (D, anti-codon, and T loops).
Source: RNAcentral
UGCCUUCUUAGUUAAAUGGAUAUAACAAAUCCCUCCUAAGGAUUAGUUGCAGGUUCGAUUCCUGCAGAGGGCACCAA